AUUGAACGCUGGCGGCAGGCCUAACACAUGCAAGUCGAACGGUAGCACAGAGAGCUUGCUCUCGGGUGACGAGUGGCGGACGGGUGAGUAAUGUCUGGGAAACUGCCUGAUGGAGGGGGAUAACUACUGGAAACGGUAGCUAAUACCGCAUAAUGUCGCAAGACCAAAGAGGGGGACCUUCGGGCCUGUUGCCAUGGGAUGUGCCCGGGGGGGAUUAGCUAGUUGGUGGGGUAAUGGCUUACCAAGGCGACGAUCGGUAGCCGGUCUGAGAGGAUGACCGGCCACAUUGGGACUGAGAGACGGCCCAGACUCCUACGGGAGGCAGCAGUGGGGAAUAGUGCGCAAUGGGCGGAAGCCUGAUGCGGCAAAGCCGCGUGCGGGAUGACGGCCUUCGGGUUGUAAACCGCUUUCGCCUGUGACGAAGCGUGAGUGACGGUAAUGGGUAAAGAAGCACCGGCUAACUACGUG
This 468-nucleotide ribosomal RNA is filed under the name uncultured bacterium. RNAcentral's name for it is "partial 16S ribosomal RNA". It matches the Rfam family "Bacterial small subunit ribosomal RNA", at positions 29 to 507 of the family's 1533-position model. The record is from RNAcentral.